RNAcentral lists this microRNA (20 nucleotides) under Schistosoma japonicum. RNAcentral's name for it is "miRNA-3108". Lineage: Eukaryota; Metazoa; Platyhelminthes; Trematoda; Strigeidida; Schistosomatidae. The record is from RNAcentral.
UGGUCGAGGUAGACGGUGGU